This 359-nucleotide long non-coding RNA is filed under the name Linum usitatissimum (flax). RNAcentral's name for it is "long non-coding RNA (LUSI_LNC005603)". Lineage: Eukaryota; Viridiplantae; Streptophyta; Magnoliopsida; Malpighiales; Linaceae. The record is from RNAcentral.
GGUGGAUUGGCUAUACUUUCUUGCCUUUGCACUGGUGGCCAUUGGCUUAAUUACUUACUCCAUGACUGAGACUGAGGAGGAUUCACACACUAAGACAGAAUCGAACGGUGAGAAUCCGAGUGUUGCAGAGAGCCAGCAACAGCAACCACUACUGUCAGCGUGAGAAUGUAAUAUCAAAGACUGAAUGUUCAGUUCCAUCAUCAAUCUACAGAGUUUCGAGACUAUAUAUGCAAGUAGUUUCGAUCGUAUUGUAAAUAACAGACACAUAUAUAACUGUAUAAGAAAAAACAUGAUCAGAGUGUUAUAGACACUCAUUGUCCAUCGAUGAAAAUUUUUACCAGAUUGCGGGGUUUGUGAUC